AGAAAACAUAUAAUUUAUAUAAUACUUAUACAUGCAUUUCUUUGAUGCUCUGCCUUUUAAUUACAGGUAUUUGAGAUAAAUGUAUUUUACUAUAAAUUUGCUUUUAAGAGAUAAUACAACCAUCAAGUAAUCUCUCCCAAAUUGUUGUACAAAUUCCAUAAGGUAAUAAACAAAUAUAAUUAAUUUUGUCUAGAGAAAUAUCUAAUGGCUUUAACUAUAUUUUCAUUUGAGAUGUUUCUUCUUAUCAAGGUCCAAUAAUUUGUUAGAUUCUAAGGUUUUCAAGAAUUGUUCCAAGGAAAAAACAGAAAGAGUUCUAAAAGGAAAAGAAGAUACUUACACAGAGAGGAAGCACACAUUGGAGGUCCUAAGAGGAAGAAGUGAAUCAUCUUUGGGUAAAACAAGGUCUGGAUUUUAAUGACAAAACUAUUUUCCUAAAAAGGAAUAUCUGUAUAUGAUUAUGUAGACAGAUGAUAUAGAAAGUUAAAACAAUUGAAAAAGAGAUUUAUAUGUACUGGACUGACUAUAAAAAUUUUAACUAAUUCAAGAGUAUUUCAGGCUAUAUUCUUGAUUUCACUGUGCUGAUGUGAGUUAAGAUUUUGUCCAUAUUUUGACAGAAUAAAGACCUACUAAAAUGUUACGUGUAUUUUCUUUAAGGAAGGGUUUUAUUGCCUAAUGAUUCUUAUUGUUACAGCAAGGAUUAAUUUUAGUAAAUAAAUUCACAUCCUUGAUUAAACACUAAAUAUAUUAAACUACUGACUUAGAUUCCAAAUUUGACAAUUAUCCUUUGAGACUAAAUUUGAUUGAUUCAAAGACACUGCUGAAAUUUACAAAUUCCCUUUUUUUUGCUAGAUAUUUGUGAGAUUUGGAAGAACAUUGAUAUUCUCCAAAUUAAAGUCAUAGAUUGCUUUUGAGCAAUAAAGGUUGCAAACUUUGCUGGAAAUUCAUUAGUGUUUUAUAAGUUCUUUGACUGGACCUGUUAUUUAUUUUAAAAAUGGUAAAAUUUACAUACUACUCCCUACACUGGGAAGUAAGCUUAAUCGUAUUUCCUCAAAGACAAUUAAGAGAUACCUAUUUAAAGGAUAAUAUUCUUAGAUAUAGAAAUAUUUUGGAAACUUCUCUCAAGAAGAGAUUGAGGGCUCCCUAUAAUUUAAAUUACUGAUAUUAUGAUUUAUAACAGUCUUUUAAAUAAAGAAAAAGAAAAAAAAACAGGACCCCACAAGCACAUACUAGAUCUUACAAAUAUUUAAAAAAAUUUUUUUUCUUAAAUUGUAAUAUUGAGAGUUUUAUUGUUACUCAACAUGAUUCAGUAAAUUAAAUCAGAUUUUAAAAGAGAGUUGAAACCUCUCAUCAUGAAAAUGACUGUAGGGCCUGAAAUUGUAAGGUAAAUCUCACCACUGCAGAAUUUAGAGCCAUGCAGCUUCAUGAGCUUAUCAGGCAAGUAAAAAUUAUGAAGAGACUUGCAUGGACCCAUUUCUCAGGUCCACCUUUAAUGUGCCUUGAAGUGUGGACUGAAAAGUCCACCCAUGAACUAGAUUAAUUGUACUGACUGUAAUGUUCAAUUAUUCCUAUAUGUUGAACUUAUGGUACACAGACUCUCUGGGAUUAUCUUUUGAGAAAAAGACAGCAUGUAAGAAACCUAAACCAGCCAAUCAUGCUGGUCCUUAAAAGUUAAGAUGAUAUUUACUUUUCUGGACAAUUGUCAGAAAGAUUAUUAAAAUAGUUUUUAUUCUACACAGGCCAGUUAUUUAUGUAAGAUAUCCACCAACAUAUUAUUCUCCUACUCAUUCUACAAUAGGAAUUGUAGUAUGGAUAGUUGGUGCAAAUGUCUUGCCAGUCAACCCAAGAUAUCUAGAAAUAGUGGAUAUAUUUUAGACUGGUCUCCCAGAAUUGACAAAGCUGAUUAUGCAAGGAUGCCAUAACACAUGAAGGUUUAUUGGUAAUAACCUAGCCCUUCAGUGAGUUGGCACCCAAAAGGAUGUUUUGAUGUUUGACUUCUACCUUCAAAAUAUUUACAUUAUUGACCUAAAAAAAACUCAUUAAAUGUGAGAAUUAACUAAAAGGAUGAUGUAUAUCCUGUAGUCUGUAAGAAUGCAACUUGUCUUAUUGUAUCACUAGUUAUUGCCUGCUAAUAUUUCAGAGCUAUAAUAUGCUGAGGUUAACAUUCAGGCUUUGAAACAGGUGCAUGCUAAUUAACCAGACCUAGGCAAGCUCCUGCUCUCAUGAUCCUUGAAGUGACUACAUUAAAUAUAAUUUCCUGCUUCUGUAAUUAUAGUCUUUAUGGCUAUGUUUUAAACUUAGAACAUGUGAAUUUUCUUAAGAUUUGAUUUAAAUCACUUCCAAGAUCCUUCAUAGUCAAUUAAGUUCUGAUGGAAGAAUUGGAACUAAGUUAAAAUGCUCUAGAAGACAAUAUACUGAAUAAUGCAAAUGAGCCUUCUGCUCUAUGGUUUGUGGAUAGGCUUAAAUGCCAUGCGAAUUAAAUAAUCUUUGUUAAUAUGGCCAAAUGCAAUGCUUCCCAAUAAAAUUGAAAAAAGAUUAAAAAUCUUCUGAUGAGUGUUUGUCAGAGUAAAAAUAAUAACUUGGAUCUUGCAAGUUGAUUAUAUUAUUGAAAUGAUAUGUUUUCUACUAAUUCCUUUUGUGAUUCAAUGGUAGAUUAUGUUGAACUUGGAAUGUAACAAUUAUAAGACAUACAUAAGCUUCUUUAUAUUUUGCUUUUAAUUUUGAAGGUUUUGAGGAGACAUUUGCUUGUCACAGGAACAAAAGCCGGCAAUGUCCCUAUGAUAAUCAAAUAAUCCUCAUUCUCAUUCCUGAGUAUAAAAUUACAAGACAUAAGUCAAUGUAUACAGAAGAAUCUUAUUAUGUAUGUCACAAAUUUAAAACAAUCACUACUAAUCCAAGAAAAAUUAAAAUGGAUCCAAAUAUCAUAAGAACCACGUGGUUGCAUAAAGUUAAUACUAUUAUAAGUAAUGCCCUUAUUCUUAAUACAUAUUUUUCUAGGAAUUUGGACAACCUGUAGUUGUUAAUUCAUAAAAUAAUUAGCAUAUAUAUCUAAUUGUUUAAUUAAUAUGUAUUUAUGUAAUUGUUUUUCUUCAACAGAAAACACAUAAUUUAUAUAUUACUUAUACAUGCAUUUCUCUGAUGCUCUGCCUUUUAAUUACAGGUAUUUGAGAUAAAUGUAUUUUACUAUAAAUUUGCUUUUAAGAGAUAAUACAACCAUCAAGUAAUCUCUCCCAAAUUGUUGUACAAACUUUAUAAGGUAAUAACAAAUAUAAUUAAUUCUGUCUACAGAAAUAUCCAAUGGCUUUAACUAUAUUUUCAUUUGAGAUGUUUCUUCUUAUCAAGAUAUAAUAAGUUGUUAGAUUCUACAGUUUUCAAAUAUUGUCCCAGAAAAAAAAAAAAAAAACAGGAAGAAUUCUAAAAGGAAAAGAAGAUACUUUCACAGAGAGGAAGCACAUAUUGGAGGUCCUAAGAGAAAGAAAUGAAUCAUCUUUGGGUAAAACAAGGUGUUUGUAUUCUGGAUUUUAAUGAUUAGAGUAUUUUCCUAAAAAGAAAAAUCUGUAUAGCAUUAUGUAGAAAGAUGAUAUAGAAAGUUAAAACAAUUGAAAAAGAGAUUUAUAUGUACUGGACUAAUUAUAAAAAUUUAAUUGAUUAAUUCAAGAGUAUUUCAGGCUAUUUUCUUGAAUCUACUGAUGUGUGCUAAGAUAUUGUCCAUAUUUUGACACACUAAAGACCUAUUAAAAUGUUACGUGUAUUUCCUUUCAAGAAGGUCUUUAUUGCCUAAUGAUUCUCAUUGUUUAAGGCAAGUAUUAAUUUUAGAAAAUAAAUUCACAUUCUUGAUUAAACAUGAAAUAUAUUUAACUGCUGACUUAGAUCCCAAAUUUGACAAUUCUCAUUAGAGACUAAAUUAGAUUGAUUCAAAGAACCUGCUGAAAUUUACAAAUUACUCUUUUUUUUUUUUGCUGGAUAGUUGUGAGACUUGGGAGAACAUUGAUGUUCUCCAAACUAAAGUGGUACAUUGGUUUUGAGCAAUAAAGUUUGCAAACUUUGUUGAAAAUUCAUUGGUAUUAUAUAAGUUCUUUGAUUGGACCUAUUAUCCACAAAAAUAUGGUAAAAUUUACAUACUACUCCCUACACUGGGAUUUACAUAUUACUACUAAGAUUUACAUACUAUUCCCUACACUGGAAGCUUAACCAUAUUUUCUUGGUGACUAAAUCAUGUAAUACCCCAAUUGCCUUUAAAUAUUAAUCAAGGGGAAUUUGUGGGUAGCCACUCCAAAUUAAGGCACCUUUAGUCCUGAUGCACCAUGGGGGUCUGAAAUAUCAAUAUAGUCUGGAGCAGAAGUGCCAUGACUCCAUCUUUUCCCAUGGUUGGAUAAUAAGGUAUGGCUCUGGGAGUAGCCCUAGGGGUAGGUGGUACCCAGAAGGGGUGAGUGUGGGAAGCCACUCUGAAUGAUUUAUGCCUCCCAUCCUGGAGGGGAGAGGCUUUGACAGGCACUAAAUAUUGUAGUGACCUGGACAUUGCCCUGGUCCUGGAAGUUUGAGGGCACGUCUUUAGAUGUAGGUCUCUCACCUCAUGGCCCUUUGGGUCAAAUUACACUCACCUGUCCUUUGUAACCCUGCCACUUCUGACCAUUUUUGGAUGGAAUUUCUAAGAAUAAGGGUCACUCAAUAAGAUUCCACAUCCAAAUAUGCUUACAGUCUCUCACCUGCCCCUUGCGACUUUCUCUUGCUCUCCCAUUUGAGGAGCCUGAGGCAGAGAACAAAGAAACCAUCCUGAAGUUUGAUUAAAGGUACAGUGUGUGUCUGUGUUUUUUUUUUUUGUUUUUUUUUUUGGUGUCCCUGGAAAUUCACAUGAGCAAACUUAAGUUAACUGCCCAUGUGGAAGCAGUUGAGCUACACUCACCUGUUCCCUUGUAAUCCUACCAUUUGCCUCAUUUGAAUGGCUUCUUCCCAAUGAAAGGGUUCAACCUGUGCUCCUCUCUCUCUUUGCACAGAUGCCAAGGUUGCAGGAGCCAUCACAGAACCCAAAGAAAAAAGGUAUUUCUCAAGAAAAAGAUAUUUCUCUGCCUCUGUGUGGUUAUUUCUUGCCUCCCAGUUCACCUGGAGUGACCUUGAGUGUUUAGUCAUGAGACUUUUCAAAACAUGGGUGUGUCUGUGAAAGAAACAUAAAGACAUGAGUACUGUUAUGAGAUUAAUACAAGAUAAAUGUUUCAUCAUCUGGAACAUGUCAAUGAAUAUCAUGAAGAUGAUAGAAAUCAAUAAUCUCUCACCAGGAGGUGUCAGAGUUGAGAAGUUGUCCUCAUAAUAAGACCUAAAAGGACAGAGAGGACAAAGCUAAAUUUGGGGAUGUAAAUCUUUAACCUGGUCACAGAUAUCAAGAAUGUAAACACAACAUUUAUUUAAGCUACUUAAUGCCACCUGAUUUUUGUAAAAUAUCUUUUUAUUGGAAUGACCUCUGUUUUCAUUUUAAGAGUAUUUGUUAGAUAUUCAAGAUCAAGCUGGUCAAAGUGAACUUGUUCUUAUCUAUCAUUAGGAGUCAGCUGAGUUCUCUUGGGGUCUCUGUUGGGGAACUAAUGAGCAGCUGUUUAGCUCUGCUAAUGCCAUCCAUCAGGAUAAGUCAAGGUCUCACUGACCAUGUGGCUUCCCUUGGAAACAUCAGGGAUAUCUCUCUUUUUCAAUGACAGUAAGUGUACUGAUUGGAUUUAUUUAAAGAUCCCAGUAAUCUACCUGAUUGGGGGGUCAUGUGACCCAGAGUUGCAAAGCUCUUAGAGAAUUUCCCUUGUUUCCUGGGUUCAAGCUGACUCAGAGGGCAAGAGCUAAAUAUUGUGUUUCUUGCCCCCACCCCAUCUUUUUAACCUUAAUCUUUAAGCCUUGAUCUUAAAUAUCCAGCAACCCAGUCUUAAAGUACGAGUACUGGGCUUUAACUUUAAUAUUUAUAACUUUACAGUCAUCUUUACCCCUUUUAUUUAAUUGGGGUCUCUAUUAGUAUUGGAAGUUAGCAUUAUAUAGUAUCUGUCUGUAGAUGAUGGCCUUAUAUUUCAAAUUAAUUUAGUUUGUUAUAUUUGAAGUUGUACUUUUGUAAGGCACUUUUGUAAGUAGUUAAAGUUUACAAGAAAAAUUUAAAAUGAAAUUAACAAGAGUAGAAAAAAAUAUUGUGUUUAUACAUAAUCUUAAACCUUAGCUGAGUUAUACAUUAUAUCCUAUGUUUGAGACUACAGUAAUCUUUAAAAUAAAUUAUCAAUCUUUUGAAUAAAAUUUGAAGUGAGAUGAGUCUGGCCUAACUGAUUGUGUUAGUUAACACAAUAUGACAUUAUCUGAAACAAGAAUUAAAGAAAGGCUAAGAAAGGUUUAACUUUCUUUUUGUGGAAAAAGUGGCAAAAAAUUUUUAUGUUUUACAAGAUUAAUCUUUAAGUAGGUCAGUCCCUUAUUAUCUUUUAGAAAUACAUUUACAUUUUUAUCCCAGUGUAACAAGUAACAUAAGGUUUAGAUUUGGUUACAGAACAUUCCUUGAUAUAAAUAAAUCCCCAAUAAAAUUUGUUAUCCUUAUAAGUCUAAAAUUAUCAUUAGAGACAACUUUAGUUUGGAGACCACUAGCUUGAUAAAAUGUUCUUUCAAAACUUUUUCUUUCAGAGUGGGGUUGUGGCUCAGCAGUAGAGUGCUCACCUAGCAUGUGCGAGGGAGGCCCUGGGUUCAAUCCUCAGCACCACAUAUAAAUAAAAUAAACAUAUAAAAAAUAAAAAAAUAAAGUUUUACUUUAAAGACUUCUAUGUCUGAAAUAUAUGAACACAUUUAAUAUACAAAGAAGUGUAACAGUGCCAUAAUUUCAUUGAUGUUUACAUAGUAAUCUGGUUUAGCUUUUAAAGAAAAAUAUAGACUCUGUAAUUUAGUACAAUACUCUAAAAUAACAAUAUAAACCCCGAUUUUUAACAGUAAUUGCUCUAGAUAGUAAAAGUUAACAGAUUCAAUGUUAAGAGUGAAUUAAUAUUUGAAAAAAAUCCUUGUCAUUUCAACAUAUGUAUUAAACUUUGGUUUAUAUCAGUACAUUAAUAUAUGACUUUAGGGAAAAACCUUGAGUAGAUUUAACUGAUAGUGUUACUUAUGUAUAACCAAUUUAAUUGCACACAAACAUUUUAAAGUUUACCCUUCAUUUAUAUAGACAUUUUUAUCAAUUAUAUUCUCUUUUUCUUUUUUUUAAUUUAGAUAUAUUCAACUUUACUACAUAAAGACUCUCUUACCCAGUGGAAGGUCCUAGCUUAGCAUCUGGAUGACCAUCUUAAGCAACAGCUGCCAUCUUAAGAAAAAGGUUUACUUUCCCACCCAAGGGUAGCUGACCAUUCUUUCAUUAUUCAGCCAACAUUAUCCUUUGUAAUCUAAUAAUGUCAAAAUUAAUGAAGAACAUGGGCACCUAAUUCUUGUUUCAUAGCCAGGUUAUUAGCUUCCAACACCAGAAGGGCCAUGACUGAAAGGGCCCAUAAGGAAGGUGGCCAGCCUUGGGCUACAUACAGAGUCCAGCUGUUUAGAUAGACAGUUCCACUGGAUGUGCCAUGUUCCCAGCAUUUGAGUCAGGACCCCCACAGCUAUUCCAUACCAUUCACGGACCUACAGGAAGAAAGGCUUUGUGAGGUCAGGGAGUCCUAGUCCAGGUGCAUUGGUGAGUGCUUCUUUAGUGUCCUCAAAGUCCUUUUGUUUUGUUGGCCCCCCCAAACAGAAGAUCCUGUUCUUUCCUUUUUGGGCCUUCACAGUGGGGUUUUGCCAUAACUGAAAAGUUGGAGAUCCAUACACAGCAGAAUUAAGUGGCACCAAAGAUCUCUGAUUUGACAGCAGGUUGAAGGGACUGGAAUUGAGCAGGUCACCUGUUUUCUCUUGUAGCCCAGUUGCCGCUGUCCCCGAGUAAUACACAAACCAAGGAACUUGGCUUUUCUUGAUAGAUCUGGGCUUUCUUUUUUGAAACUUUGUAACCAGCCUUACAUAGGAGAGUGAGAAGCAGCUGUGUUCUUUUUAUGCCAUCUUCUCUGGUUGCUCCAGCCAGGAACAGAUCAUCUACAUAUUGGAACAAUGUGCAUCCACAUUGUUUUGCAGGAAAGGCUUUUAAGUCAGAGGCCAGCACUAUCCCAAUGAUGGUUGAUGACUUUUUGAAACCUUGUGGUAACCUAUUCCAGGCCAUUUGGCCUUUGUUCCCAUUGGAGUCUUCUCACUGGAAGGCAAAGGGUGGCUGACUCUGGGGUACAAGUUGUCUGCAGAAGAGGGCAUAUUUAAGGUCCAGACAUGUGAAAUAGCCCACCUCAGCUGGGGGCAGACUUAGGAGAUUAUGUGGAUUGGGGAUCACAGGAUGUAGGGUGACUGUGGCUUGAUUUACUGCAUGUAAAUGUUGGACUAGCCAAUAAUCAUCAGUUUCCGGUUCUGGACAGGCAAAAGAGGUGUAUUUCAUGGUGAUUGUUGAGUUCUGAGAAUUCCAUAUUGUAAAAGUGUGUCCAAAUGUUUUUGAAUUCCAAAUUUUGCUGUAUAAGAAAUAUGAUGUUGUCUUAGGUUUCCAGUAUGGCUUCAAGUUUAAAUUUCAUCACCACUAGGAGAAAGUUUUGGGCUAGUCCAGGUGGGUUGGCCUCUAUACUUUAUACAAGAAGUCUAUACUUCUUGUAGUUGGAAAGGAAUGUCUGGUUCCUUUUGUGAUGUUUCUACUAGGCUGAAGAGGUGCCACUCCUCUUCCCAGGGAUUGUGAGGGUUAAAAUAUUUGCUUCGGGUUUUCUCAAUGAUACCAGUGACUGGCCUUUUGCAUUAACAAUUAUCUGGGCUUAGAGCUUUCCUACCAAGUCUCAACCUAUCAAUUGAACUGGGGAAUCUGGUAUGUAUAGAAAUUUUUGGACUACUUUGUGACCCUCAAUUUCAAUGCUGUGGUAACAGGAAAGGAUAAUCUGUUUUGUUUCCUGGGGCCCCCACAAUUGUGGUUUCUUUCUUUGAAAUUGGGCCCACAGGUUGGGUCACAACCAAAUGGUGAGCCCUAGCAUUCACCAUAAAGUCCAUAGGUUUGUUCCCUAUAAGCAUUUGAACCAUAGGCUUCUGGAGGCCCCAAAAAAUGGAGCCCAUUCAGUCAUAGACCUCAUCAUAAUUUUCCAUGGCUUCCAGUCCCACAAAUUUUUUC
This 9133-nucleotide long non-coding RNA is filed under the name Marmota monax (woodchuck). Lineage: Eukaryota; Metazoa; Chordata; Mammalia; Rodentia; Sciuridae. The record is from RNAcentral.